GAAAAAGAGACGAUCAUUUUAGAGGCCACUUAGAAGGGGUGUUAAGUGUCAUGUUCCUUAAAAAGAUAAAGCGUCCACAAAAAUUAACCUGCAAAAUAAUAUCAGGACCAACAUAUUACACAAACAAAAACAUUAUUAGUAAAUACUACUACUGAUGUAAUGUUGUUAAACCAAAAACGACCAGUGAAUAAGGAUGUCCAUAUGCUUAUGUUUUCGCAAUAGCAAGCGUAGAAAUCUUUUGGAAUUGUAAUCCCAUGAAUUUCAGAAGGAAAUCUUUUGGAAUCUUAUAACCCUGAAAAAGUAAGAAAAUAAAAGAUACAAUUUUGACUCAGAUCAGCCACAAAGGUUAGAAAAAAGGUUUGUUAAUACAAAACAUAAUUGAGGUGGUGCAAUUGUGGUUCCUAUCUACAAAAAAAAAACCAAAUUUAAACAAAAAGAAUAGGCCUAGAUUUCGUACAUCUUGUGUAAACCAUAAGUUUGAACUUAUAUUCUCCAUGAAUUGUAGCCAACAUCCAUGCAUCAUCAAUUACAAAAGAUGAGCAAAUUCCCAACUAAAACUUAAAAUACACCUAAAUAAGUUCCAUGGAAAACACAAUAUAAACAUCUCAAAGUAAAUCAUGUUACCCGUAAGCAAGAACCUGUAGCCACUUCACCUCACCUUUCAAUUCGCAAACUGCAAACACAA
This 685-nucleotide long non-coding RNA is filed under the name Lactuca sativa (garden lettuce). Its description in RNAcentral is "long non-coding RNA (LSAT_LNC008390)". Lineage: Eukaryota; Viridiplantae; Streptophyta; Magnoliopsida; Asterales; Asteraceae. The record is from RNAcentral.